RNAcentral lists this ribosomal RNA (774 nucleotides) under uncultured Neocallimastigales. Its description in RNAcentral is "partial large subunit ribosomal RNA". It matches the Rfam family "Eukaryotic large subunit ribosomal RNA", at positions 20 to 627 of the family's 3401-position model. Lineage: Eukaryota; Fungi; Neocallimastigomycota; Neocallimastigomycetes; Neocallimastigales. The record is from RNAcentral.
UACUAGAGUAGCACUCGCAUAUCAAUAAGCGGAGGAAAAGAAACUAACAAGGAUUCCCCUAGUAACGGCGAGUGAAGCGGGAAGAGCUCAAAUUUGAAAUCUUAAAGGGUUUCCCUUUACGAAUUGUAGUUUAAAGAAGUGUUUUCUGUUGAGGUUUUGGUAAAAGUUCUUUGGAAUAGGACAUCAUAGAGGGUGAGAAUCCCGUAUUUGACCUUUACUUUCAACUUUGUGAUACACUUUCAAAGAGUCGGAUUGUUUGGGAAUGCAGUCCAAAAUGGGUGGUAAAUUUCAUCUAAAGCUAAAUAUUGGCGAGAGACCGAUAGCGAACAAGUACCGUGAGGGAAAGAUGAAAAGAACUUUGAAAAGAGAGUUAAACAGUACGUGAAAUUGUCAAAAGGGAAGCGUUUGACACCAGUGUUGUUUUUCUGAAAAUCAAUUAAAGAACUGUUUAUGCUAAGCUGUUUAGACUUUAUCAGCUAUCUGUUUAGUUUUGAGCUUUUCUUUAAUGCACUUUUCAGUUAACAAGUCAACAUCAAUAUCUUUUGCUGUAAAAAAGCUUGAGGAAGGUGGCUUGAGAUUCGUCUUAAGUGUUUAUAGCCUCUUGCCUAUGCAGUCGGAGAGAUUGAGGUCUGCAGCGUAGAUCCUUCGGGGCUAAAUGCAUUUGUGCUAAGUUAUAGCAUUUUACAGACAACUUGUUGACUAUGAUUUGUCUUGUAGCUUACUCGCUUAUGUUAUUUUACCUACGCUUAGGAUGUUGAACUCUAUCACACACAG